AUGAUUAUAACCAUCGCAGUUAAUGCAGCAGCCUCAUUGUUCAGAGGAGUCUGUCAGAGAUGGAGCUGCUUCUUCUGAGUCUCUGCCUCGUGCAUUUGUCUGGAUCAACGUUUGCUGAUAGAAACGAUCGGGGUCAGGUUGAAAGAAGUCCAGUGAUCAGAGUGAAAGAAGGCAAUGAUGUGACUCUGCCCUGUUACAUCAAGAACAAGAACAUUGUGUCUGAGCGGUUUGAGUGGAAGAAAGAUGGAAAGAAGGAUGUUUACCUGUGUGAACGUGAUUCAUUAUCAGGUCAAGAUAAGGAGUUCAAAGGUCGCGUGUCUCAUUUUGCUAGUGAACUGAAGAACGGUAACGCCUCCAUAAAAAUCAGAGAUACUAAAGUGCCUGACAGUGGAGACUACACUUGUCAUUUAGGAAAUGACCAAAUCUUCAGCGUCCGUCUUGUUGUUGAUAAAGUUGCAAAGCUGCAAAUCGAAAAAGACACAAAAGUGGGGUCGGACGGGGUCCUGCUGCAGUGUCUGGUUUCAAAUGCGUCUCCUGAUUUUCAACUGAACAUCUCCUGGUUCGACAGCUCUGGAAACAAACUUACUGAACAGAUAAACAACACACAAAGUGGAAAAAUCUACAUCCUCAAAACUACUGUGAAAAAGAGUGACGAUUAUCGCUGUGUAGCAACAAUGGAUGAACUCAGUCAUCAAGUUGAUGAUUAUGUCACUGUCAAAGAUGAAGACUUAAAGAACACAUCAGGUGAGUCCCACCAUCAAUGAGUUUCCCUCCAGAUCCUCAAUUCACCACCUUUGAUCUGUGACUGUAGAUGUCUCCUGUUGCUGUGGAGCAGAUCGGUUCCUGCACCACAUGUUUAAAGCUUCAUUGUAACAACAGUGGCUGUAAAUAGUUUAAAGCUCAUGGUCGUUGGCGUCGCUGCGUCGUCACUGGCUCAUGAUGUGAUUCCUCUGAUUGAUGGAGCAGAGCAGGAAGCAUGAAGCUUCAGUUGAGGCAGCAGUGAAGCAAGGCAGCAAAGCCGAGUGCGACUCCUCAUGAGGCGUCCAGGACGACGCUCGCUCUUCUUCAGCAGAUCACGCUCUGCUCAUGUGUCGGUCUCUUCCUGGUGGAUCCUGGACCACGUGGAGCCUCAGGGUUUCACCAGGAGGAGGCUCACACGUCAAACAGGGUGGAGGGUUGCUAGUUUGAUGCCACGUGGUGAACUGCUGCCUUGUGAGGUCGUCGCUUUGGACCAAAGCAUCAGUCGAGUCACUAAAUGAAACAACAGCAGGGUCAAACAUCCCAUUGAUCAUUGGGUUGGUUGCUUUAGCAGUUUUGGCUCUUAUAAUUGUAGUUUUGGUUAUAUACAUACUCAGAAUCAGGAAGAGGAUCUAGGCAUGACAACCUCCAGACAUCUUGUUGGGACAUUGAAUCCAGACCGGGAUGUGACACAGAACCUUAUCUGGACUUUGUUUUAGUGUCCACAUGCGUCAACCUAACAUGAUGUUACAGUUUUAUUUUACAUUGUCUUAGUUCACCCCGUGUUUACCUGAACAGGUGUUCGGUUUUGUUUUUCUGUUUUCAGUCCAUGUUGAUGUAAAUGUCUGAUGUCACUAUAAACAGACAUUGAUGAUUCAUCAGAAACCUGAUGGUCAAACCUUCCAGCUUCACGUAAACACGGGCUGCAGAACCAUUGGUGAAUAUGAUUAUUUACAUUAUUGUGCAGCUUUGAUGUCAAAUGUAACUUGAGUUGCUGUUAAAGCAUUUAAAGGAUUUUACCAACAGUUUUGCUUCAAUUCCAAAUAGUUCACCUGAUGAAAUAUAUAAUUAAAUAUAUGUUUUCUGUGAACAAGUGAGCGACCCUGAGACCUGAAUAGAGAAACCAGCUGAAGGAAACAGUCGUUCCCUGUUUAAAGUGAUCAGAGGCCUAAUUGAUUCAUUGGCUUAAGCUUGAUGUUUAUAAUGUGAAUAUUUAGCUGCUCUAUUCAACAAAAUGUGACUUUUAUUUAAUGGUUCCUUCUAUUCUGUAUAAAGUGUUGGUCCAAAGUCUGAACAUGUUCAUGUGGUUAACAGUAAACAGUUACAGUUUAUUGCAUUGCAUUAUAUGCAUUUAGUCGUUUUUAUUUUAUUAACUUCAGCUUUUUCAGAGUUUGUCAUGUUAGUUCAUUUUCAUGAUGUAACAUUUCUAUGAUUUAUCUAAUUAGUGUUAGAUUCCGUAUUUUAUGCUGCAAUAUUAAAACACAUUUACUUUAUUGUUUGAUUAAGUUUGGAUACUGUUUAUAAGUGUUAUAAUUUUAGUUCAGAUUCAGGUUUUACUUGAGAUCAGAUUGUUUCGUAGAGAAAUUAAAUUAGUUUCUGUCUCAUAAAAAAUAUUUGUCAUAAUUAAAUAAUUUUUACUGUGCAAACAUUAAAAUACAUAAUAUACUCAAA
Betta splendens (Siamese fighting fish) is the source of this 2409-nucleotide RNA transcript. It is a transcript of the gene named CD276 antigen-like, with no coding region annotated. The transcript is spliced from 7 exons. Lineage: Eukaryota; Metazoa; Chordata; Actinopteri; Anabantiformes; Osphronemidae. The record is from RefSeq and is a predicted model, not a curated record.